RNAcentral lists this unclassified non-coding RNA (358 nucleotides) under soil metagenome. RNAcentral's name for it is "partial contains 5.8S ribosomal RNA, internal transcribed spacer 2, and large subunit ribosomal RNA". The stretch from base 1 to 120 matches the Rfam family "5.8S ribosomal RNA", at positions 35 to 154 of the family's 154-position model. The record is from RNAcentral.
GAUGAAGAACGUAGCGAAAUGCGAUAAGUAAUGUGAAUUGCAGAAUGCAGUGAAUCAUCGAAUCUUUGAACGCACAUUGCGCCCGUCAGUAUUCUGGCGGGCAUGCCUGUUCGAGCGUCAUUACGCCCCUCAAGUCCCCUGUGGACUUGGUGUUGGGGAUCGGCGAGGCUGGUUUUCCAGCACAGCCGUCCCUUAAAUUAAUUGGCGGUCUCGCCGUGGCCCUCCUCUGCGCAGUAGUAAAACACUCGCAACAGGAGCCCGGCGCGGUCCACUGCCGUAAAACCCCCCAACUUUUUAUAGUUGACCUCGAAUCAGGUAGGACUACCCGCUGAACUUAAGCAUAUCAAUAAGCGGAGGA